GACGAACGCUGGCGGCGUGCUUAACACAUGCAAGUCGAACGGAAAGGCCCUGCUUUUGUGGUGUGCUCGAGUGGCGAACGGGUGAGUAACACGUGAGUAACCUGCCCUUGACUUUGGGAUAACUUCAGGAAACUGGGGCUAAUACCGGAUAGGAGCUCCUGCUGCAUGGUGGGGGUUGGAAAGUUUCGGCGGUUGGGGAUGGACUCGCGGCUUAUCAGCUUGUUGGUGGGGUAGUGGCUUACCAAGCCUUUGACGGGUAGCCGGCCUGAGAGGGUGACCGGCCACAUUGGGACUGAGAUACGGCCCAGACUCCUACGGGAGGCAGCAGUGGGGAAUAUGGCACAAUGGGCGGAAGCCUGAUGCAGCAACGCCGCGUGCGGGAUGACGGCCUUCGGGUUGUAAACCGCUUUCGCCUGUGACGAAGCGUGAGUGACGGUAAUGGGUAAAGAAGCACCGGCUAACUACGUG
RNAcentral lists this ribosomal RNA (468 nucleotides) under uncultured bacterium. RNAcentral's name for it is "partial 16S ribosomal RNA". It matches the Rfam family "Bacterial small subunit ribosomal RNA", at positions 28 to 507 of the family's 1533-position model. The record is from RNAcentral.